RNAcentral lists this ribosomal RNA (916 nucleotides) under Cylindrocephalum hughesii. RNAcentral describes it as "partial large subunit ribosomal RNA". It matches the Rfam family "Eukaryotic large subunit ribosomal RNA", at positions 37 to 971 of the family's 3401-position model. Lineage: Eukaryota; Fungi; Ascomycota; Leotiomycetes; Helotiales; Pezizellaceae. The record is from RNAcentral.
AGCAUAUCAAUAAGCGGAGGAAAAGAAACCAACAGGGAUUGCCUCAGUAACGGCGAGUGAAGCGGCAACAGCUCAAAUUUGAAAUCUGGCUCUUUCAGGGUCCGAGUUGUAAUUUGUAGAAGAUGCUUCGGGUGUGGCUCCGGUCUAAGUUCCUUGGAACAGGACGUCAUAGAGGGUGAGAAUCCCGUAUGUGACUGGCUGCCUCCCCCAUGUGAAGCUCUUUCGACGAGUCGAGUUGUUUGGGAAUGCAGCUCAAAAUGGGUGGUAAAUUUCAUCUAAAGCUAAAUAUUGGCCAGAGACCGAUAGCGCACAAGUAGAGUGAUCGAAAGAUGAAAAGCACUUUGGAAAGAGAGUUAAACAGUACGUGAAAUUGUUGAAAGGGAAGCGCUUGCAAUCAGACUUGCGCGCGGUCGAUCAUCCGAUGUUCUCACCGGUGCACUCGACCGUGCUCAGGCCAGCAUCGGUUUCGGUGGUUGGAUAAAGGCCUUGGGAAUGUGGCUCUCUUCGGGGAGUGUUAUAGCCCUCGGUGCAAUGCAGCCUACUGGGACCGAGGACCGCGCUUCGGCUAGGAUGCUGGCGUAAUGGUUGUAAGCGACCCGUCUUGAAACACGGACCAAGGAGUCUAACAUCUAUGCGAGUGUUUGGGUGUCAAACCCAUACGCGUAAUGAAAGUGAACGGAGGUGAGAACCCUUAAGGGUGCAUCAUCGACCGAUCCUGAUGUCUUCGGAUGGAUUUGAGUAAGAGCAUAGCUGUUGGGACCCGAAAGAUGGUGAACUAUGCCUGAAUAGGGUGAAGCCAGAGGAAACUCUGGUGGAGGCUCGCAGCGGUUCUGACGUGCAAAUCGAUCGUCAAAUUUGGGUAUAGGGGCGAAAGACUAAUCGAACCAUCUAGUAGCUGGUUCCUGCCGAAGUUCCC